CAGUAGCCGCGGUAAUACGAAGGGUGCAAGCGUUACUCGGAAUUACUGGGCGUAAAGCGUGCGUAGGUGGUCGUUUAAGUCUGUUGUGAAAGCCCUGGGCUCAACCUGGGAACUGCAGUGGAAACUGGACGACUAGAGUGUGGUAGAGGGUAGCGGAAUUCCUGGUGUAGCAGUGAAAUGCGUAGAGAUCAGGAGGAACAUCCAUGGCGAAGGCAGCUACCUGGACCAACACUGACACUGAGGCACGAAAGCGUGGGGAGCAAACAGGAUUAGAUACCCCCGUAGUCCCUGUCUCUUAUAC
This 301-nucleotide ribosomal RNA is filed under the name uncultured bacterium. Its description in RNAcentral is "partial 16S ribosomal RNA". It matches the Rfam family "Bacterial small subunit ribosomal RNA", at positions 509 to 807 of the family's 1533-position model. The record is from RNAcentral.